Molecule: ribosomal RNA, 484 nt
Filed under: uncultured bacterium
Lineage: Bacteria
Description: partial 16S ribosomal RNA
Rfam family: Bacterial small subunit ribosomal RNA
Source: RNAcentral
AGUGAACGCUGGCGGCGUGCUUAACACAUGCAAGUCGAACGAGAACGGGUUAUAGCUUGCUAUAAUUGUCAGCUAAGUGGCGCACGGGUGAGUAAUGUAUAGGUAAUAUGCCUCUUACUAAGGGAUAACAAAUGGAAACGUUUGCUAAUACCUUAUACUCCUUAUUAACAUAAGUUAAUAAGGGAAAGAUUUAUUGGUAAGAGAUUAGCCUGUAUUGUAUCAGUUAGUUGGUGGGGUAAUGGCUUACCAAGACUAUGACACAUAACUGGUUUGAGAGGAUGAUCAGUCACACUGGAACUGAGACACGGUCCAGACUCCUACGGGAGGCAGCAGUGGGGAAUAUUGCACAAUGGACGAAAGUCUGAUGCAGCAACGCCGCGUGGAGGAUGACACAUUUCGGUGCGUAAACUCCUUUUAUAUGAGAAGAUAGUGACGGUAUUAUAUGAAUAAGCACCGGCUAACUCCGUGCCAGCCGCCGCAGUAA